CCGGGCUCGCGCUACGGCCAGAUGAGCGACACAGCUCAAUUUGAAAUCUGGCCUCGGGCCUAGUUGUUCUUUGCGGAGCAACCUUCCCGGGCGCUACCUUCUGAGUCCACAGGAAUGCUGCGCCUUAGCCGGGGAGAGUGCCCGAUAGAUGGAUGCCUAGCCCGUGUAAAGCUCCUUCUACGAGUCAAGUCUUUUGGGAAUGCUGCUUCAAAUGGGAGGUAAAUUUCUUCUAAAAGCUAAAUAUCGGCCAUAGACCGAUCUACGCACAAGUAUAGUGAUCUAAAGAUGAAAAGCACUUUGAAAAGAAAGUUAAAUUCCCAUUUGAAAUUGUUGAAAGGGAAGCGCUUGUGACCAGACUUGAGCCGGGCUGAUCAUCCGGUGUUCUCACCGGGGGGCUCUGCCCGGCUCAGGCCACCCUCUGUUCUCGAGGGGGGAUAAAGGCCCCCGGAACCUACCUCCUCCGGGAGUGUGAUAGCCCUGGGUGUAAUGCCCUCUCGGGGGACCGAGGUUCUCGCAUCUGCGAGGAUACGGGCGUAAUGGGCACCAUCGACACCUCUUGUAAAAAAAGACCACAAA
This 576-nucleotide ribosomal RNA is filed under the name Arcopilus cupreus. RNAcentral describes it as "eukaryotic LSU rRNA". It matches the Rfam family "Eukaryotic large subunit ribosomal RNA", at positions 1 to 672 of the family's 3401-position model. The record is from RNAcentral. Lineage: Eukaryota; Fungi; Ascomycota; Sordariomycetes; Sordariales; Chaetomiaceae.